GGGGGAUAAGCUUCAUUGUCGAGAGGGAAACAGCCCAGAUCACCAUUUAAGGCCCCUAAAUAAUUACUAAGUGAUAAAGGAUGUAAUAUUACAUAGACAACCAGGAGGUUGGCUUAGAAGCAGCCAUUCCUUUAAAAAGUGCGUAAUAGCUUACUGGUCAAGUGAUAUUGCGCUUAAAAUGAACGGGACUAAGUAAUUUGCCGAAAGUGUGAGAGAAAUCGGUAGAAGAGCGUUCUGCAUCGACUAGAAGUGGUAGUGUAAACAACCAUGGAUCGACCAGAAGUGAGAAUGUCGGCUUAAGUAACGAAAACAUUGGUGAAAAUCCUAUGCUCCGAAAACCUAAGGGUUCCUUAGCUAGGUUCGUCCACUAAGGGUUAGUCAGGUCCUAAAAUAAGGUUUAACAACGUAAUUUGAUGGAAGACAGGUUAAUAUUCCUGUACCGAAUCUCAUUAAAUCUUGGGUAACGAAAGAGGCUAGGCCGGCCGUAAACUGGUAAUACGGUUUAAUUGUUCAAGACGUAGAAAGAUAGUAGAAAGAAUAUCUAGAGUUGAGACAAGAAUACGAUAAAUGUUAAGGCAUUAAAAGCGGCUAACGUCAUAUUUCCAAGAAAAGCCUUAGUUUAUGAGAUGUGAGAUCGCCUGUACCGCAAACUGACACAGGUAGGUURGUAGAGUAUACUAAGGAGCGCGAGAUAACUCUUUCUAAGGAACUCGGCAAAAUAACUUCGUAACUUCGGAAGAAGAAGUGCCUCAAAUUGAGGUCACAGUAAACAGGUCCAAGCGACUGCUUACCAAAAGCACAGGUCUCCGCUAAGUUGAAAAACGACGUAUGGGGGCUGACGCCUGCCCAGUGCCGGAAGGUUAAAGAAAUUGGUUAGCGUAAGCAAAGCUAGUGACUGAAGCCCCGGUGAACGGCGGCAAUAACUAUAAUUGUCCUAAGGUAGCGAAAUUCCUUGUCGGGUAAGUUCCGACCCGCACGAAAGGCGUAACGAUUUGGACGCUGUCUCAGAAAGAGACUCGGUGAAAUAGAAUUGACUGUGAAGAUGCGGUCUACUUGCACUUGGACAGAAAGACCCUAUGAAGCUUUACUGUAACCUGAAAUUGGUUUCGGGCUUUUCUUGCGCAGCAUAGGUGGGAGGCUAAGAUCCUAUCUUUCGGGAAAAGGUGAGCCAAAAUAUGAGAUACCACUCUAGAAAAGCUAGAAAUCUAAUACUAGUCUUAAGCCCUCGCAAGAUGAUUGACAGUUUCAGGCGGGCAGUUUUACUGGGGCGGUAGCCUCCUAAAAAGUAACGGAGGCGUACAAAGGUUUUCUCAGUCUAGACGGAAAUUAGUUGUAGAGUAUAAAGAUAUAAGAAAGCUUGACUGUAAGACCUAUAAGUCGAACAGAGACUAAAGUCGGUCUUAGUGACCCGACGGUGCUGAGUGGAAAGGCCGUCGUAAACAGAUAAAAGUUACUCUAGGGAUAACAGGCUGAUCUCCCCCAAGAGUUCACAUCGACGGGGAGGUUUGGCACCUCGAUGUCGGCUCAUCGCAACCUGGGGCGGUAGUACGUUCCAAGGGUUGGGCUGUUCGCCCAUUAAAGCGGUACGUGAGCUGGGUUCAGAACGUCGAGAGACAGUUCGGUCCAUAUCCGGUGUGAGCGUUAGAGUAUUGAAAGGAGCUUUCCUUAGUACGAGAGGACCGGGAAAGACACACCACUGAUGUACCAGUUUUUGUGCCAACAGAAUACGCUGGGUAGUCAAGUGUGGAGUGGAUAACUGCUGAAAGCAUA
RNAcentral lists this ribosomal RNA (1770 nucleotides) under Euglena agilis. Its description in RNAcentral is "LSU rRNA". It matches the Rfam family "Bacterial large subunit ribosomal RNA", at positions 994 to 2781 of the family's 2925-position model. The record is from RNAcentral. Lineage: Eukaryota; Euglenozoa; Euglenophyceae; Euglenales; Euglenaceae.